ACUGCCCACAUAAUAGGACCUCGCAGCCUCUAGCCUGUCUACCUGGACAGUAUUCCAUGCCUGGCCAGACACACUGCGAGACCUGCAAUGGCACCUCUCUAUGUGGAGACGCUGUGGUACCUGGCUGGAGUAGAACAGGGACAAGGCUGUCUGUGCAGUCUGGACAGCCUGUCUCCUCCUGCUCUCCCGGGACACACAGAGACAGCCGGGAGGGAGCAGCCUGUGUCGUUUGUCCUUUAGGUCAUUACUGCACUGGAGAUGUUGCUCUGCCGUGCCCUGCUGGAAGCUACGGCCCGAAAGAGGGUCUGCAGAGGGCGAGGGACUGCCCACCAUGUCCAGCAGGGUUUUACUGUCUGGAAGGUAGUUCGCAGAGACCGGGCUCCGAAUUCAUGUGCCCACAAGGGUAUUACUGUGAGGAGGGCACCGUAACGCCCCACGGGUCACCUUGCCCUGCUGGAACAGCAGGAGAACAACUGGGUCAGACAAGUAGGGCAGCCUGCAGGAGAUGUUCGGAGGGACGGUUCUGUCCUGAAGGCUCUGCAGGUCCUGGCUUGCCCUGUGCCCGUGGAAGGUUCUGCCCAGCUGGCACACUGGAGGAAGUGAAAUGCCCAAGGGGCACCUUUACUCCUCACCAAGGGGCAAUAAGUAAGGCAUCACUUGGAAAGAUUUGCCCACUUGGAGCGGGUCUAAACAUAACAAGCAUUCAUUCAUUCAGUUCCCCACGACCAAUUAUUAAAACCUCUUUAGGUGGGAAAGACUGUUUGAGAUGCCCUGCUGGUUUCUACUGCCCAGAGGGUACCCUGGACCCUAAGCCCUGUCAGCCUGGGACAUUCAACCCCCUGGAGGGACAGGAUGAGGCCACGGACUGCAGGGAGUGCUACCCGGGCAAGGCCUGCACUAAAGUAGCCCUGAAGGCUCCAGAUGUGGACUGCAUGCAAGGGUUUGCGUGUCCUCCCGGGUCGUCCAGGCCUAACGCUCCCACCAAUGCAUGUCCACCUGGGACCAUCAGCAACCGCACCGACUUAACCGACCGGGCCCAGUGUCAACAAUGCCCUGCGCGAUAUGCAUGUCUGCAAGGUACAGGUGGUUCACAGAGGCCCCCGGUCUCCUGCUUCCCCGGGCAUUACUGCCCACCCGGGACCAUGUUCCCUACCCAGCACAAGUGCCCCAUGGGCACGUGGAGCGAUCGCAGUGGGCUGGAGGAAGAGAGCGAGUGCCGCCUCUGCCCUCGUGGCUGGUACUGCCUGGCCGGGGUGGGGGCGCCAACGGGGAGGUGCAGCUCUGGGCAUUACUGUCCCGAAGGAACAAUGUAUGGGACACAGUUUCCCUGCCCCGCGGGCACCUACAGUACCAGGAUGGGCAACGGACAAAGAGACGACUGCCACAUCUGUCCUGGGGGCUCGUACUGUCCGGAGGGCACAUCCAAGCCAGCGCCUUGCCCACCCUCUACAUUUCGCCGUCUGAAAGGAGGGCUGAGGUGGGAGGAUUGCUCUGCAUGCCCGGCAGGCUAUUUUUGCCCCCUCCCAGCCACUGUCAAUCCCAGAGUGUGUGGAGCAGGCAGCUAUUCCGACGAGGGCUCAGUGGAGUGCGCCCCCUGUCUGCAGGGCCACUACUGCAGUAACGAAACCACCAGUGAGGAGGCCAUGCUGAGUGUCAUGGUCUGCCCUCCAGGAUUCCUCUGUUCCCAGGGCCUGGCCAGAGAGCCCCAGAGAUCUGCCGUCCUCUGCCCCAGAGGCUUCUACUGCCUCGGUGGAGGCAUUGACCCAAACCCAAUUCCCUGUCCAAAUGGAACCUUUGGCGGGCACCCUGGGCUGCGUGACCUCUCAGAGUGUGCAAUGUGUCCUGUGGGAAAAUACUGCUACUCCCAGCAGCCCCGGGAGCAUCCGAUAAUUGAGCCAACUGGGAGCUGCCCUGAUGGCUUCUAUUGCCCUCUGGGUACUGGGCACCCAAACACGUCGCCCUGCCAGUCAGGAUUUUACCGGAACAACUCUCACGGUCACCAUGGUGGGGUGUGUGUAGUGUGUCCAGCCAGGUUCUUUUGCGCCAGUCCAGGCACGCACACACCGACUGUCUGCCCACAGGGUUCCUAUUGUGCUGAGGGAAGUACUUCUCCAGAAUUCUGUGUAGAGGGCACCUACGGUUCACGUCCUGCACUCAGUAGUCUGUCUGAGUGCUCCUCGUGUGGCGGGGGCAGGUAUUGCAGCGGAGUGGGAAGAACCGAGCCCUUGGGGGUGUGUGAAGAGGGCUUUUACUGCAGGGAGAGGGCCACUUCUGCAACCCCAGCCGAUGGGCCGACUGGAGGUUUGUGUCCGGCCGGAAGUUACUGCCCCCCAGGCUCUGCCUCCCCCUCCCCCUGCCCCCCUGGCACCUUCAGCAACGGCACCGGCCUCCGAACCUCCCAGCAGUGUGCUGACUGCCCACCUGGGUCCUAUUGUUUAGGUUUCGGUAACACCGCUCCCACUGGCCCGUGCUCUGCUGGUUACUAUUGUACGGGCGGCUCUGCGUCGCCUGUCCAGAAUGAGACAGAGGAGGGUUACUAUGCCCUGGAGGGGGCUGUCAGGCCCGAGCCUUGUCCCCUUGGCACGUUCCAAUCGGGUAGAGGCUAUUCGUCAUGCAUGGAGUGCCAGAGAGGAAGGCUAUGUAAUCAUACUGGCCUGUCCCAGCCUGGACUAUGUCCCUCAGGACACUACUGUCCCCCAGGCUCUGGUGUGGCUCACCCCUGUCCUCCAGGCUCCUAUGCGGACCAGCCAGGUGGGGGGGGUGUGCACCACUGCAGCCCAUGUGAUGCAGGCUCGUUCUGCAGGAGGGCUGGUCUCUCUGUACCUCAGGGUCUCUGUGACAAAGGCUUCUACUGUACGUCUGGGGCCACCUCCGUCACCCCGAUGGAUGUGGCCACUGGGGGAGUGUGUCCGGCAGGCUUCGUGUGCCCACAAGGCACCAGGUUUCCCCAUGAACAUCCCUGUCCUGCUGGGACCUGGAGCAAUGUCGUGGGGGCCCAGGACCUCUCCUAUUGCCGGCCCUGUCCUCCAGGCUUCUACUGUAACACCACAGGCCUCAUGCAGCCCUCUGGGAUAUGUGCUGCAGGGUUUUACUGUUCAGGUGGAGCAACAUCUCCAAUGCCGAUAGAUGGAGUGGCAGGAGACAUCUGUCCUCAAGCAUCCUACUGUCCAAUGGGGUCAUCAUCUCCUAAACACUGCCCUGAUGGUUCCUACUCCAACAGUACAGGUGCUGCAGAAUGUCUGGAGUGCCCUCCUGGGAGAUACUGCCUGGAUGGGGAAGGUGCUCAGCUCUGCCCUGCGGGACAUUACUGUCUGGGGGGCACAGCUGAGGAGGUGGUGCCCUGUCCUCCAGGCACAUACAGCCCCCAACCAGGACAGAGCCUACUGGAGCAGUGCCUUCUUUGCCCAGCAGGAAUGUACUGUGAGGACUGGGGGUUGGCAGAACCAACCGGACCCUGUCAAGCAGGUUUCUUCUGUUUAGCAGGUCUAAACUUCAGGAACCCAGACGGGAACAUCAGUACAGGUGUUGGUGGAGCCUGUCCAAAGGGUCACUACUGUCCAGAAGGAACCGUUCUGCCUCUACCCUGUCCUCUGGGGACCUUUUCUAAUAGGGUCCAUGUGACAGAGGACGCAGGCUGCAGCCCGUGUCCGCCCGGACAGUUCUGUGGUUCCCAGGGGCUGACCCGUCCAUCCGGGCCCUGCCAGGAGGGAUUUUACUGCCCAGGGGGGGACAGCAUAGCCACUGGUUCUGAGGCUGGAGGAGGGGGGCGGUGCCCCGCGGCGCAUUACUGCCCCCCUGGCAGUGCCAACCCAGUGCCUUGCCCCGCAGGAAGUUAUGCCAACAUGACAGGGCUGACGAGGUGCCCCCGUUGCCAUGCUGGUUACUUCUGCCCGGAGAGGACCAGUGACCACACCCAGUUCCCAUGUCCUCCUGGCUUCUACUGUCCUGAUGGCACACGUCAUGCCACCCAGUUCCCCUGUCCCCGGGGCUACUACAACCCGGAACCCAUGACUCAGAGUCUGGACAGCUGCCUACCCUGCCCCCCAGGACACUACUGUGAGAAGGAGAGACUGACUGCCGUCUCCGGGAAAUGCAAAGCCGGUUGGUUCUGUGUGUCUGCCGCCUGGAAAUCCCAGCCCUUUGAUCUGGACAACUACACUAAUGCCAACUGCCUGUGUCCUGCCACUUCCACUGGGGGGCGAUGUCAGGAGGGCUUCUUUUGCCCUCAGGGAAGCCCUGAGCCUCUGCCCUGCCCCCCGGGGGCCUUCUGUAACGUCUCAGGUCUUGGUCUCCCCAUGGGACCCUGUUCCCCGGGCUACUUCUGCAAAGAGAGAGCUGUUCACCCCAAACCCACUGAUGGCCAGACUGGCGACAUCUGCCCCCCUGGAACUUACUGUGAGGAAGGUUCUGGUGAGCCCAAGGCGUGUCCUGCUGGUACUUUCUCCCCAGUUCCAGGCCUAUUCAGUGUGGCUCAAUGUCAGCCCUGUACUGCCGGAUUUCAUUGUGCUGUUGCAGGCCUAAAAGGUCCUACUGGGCUCUGUAGCCAGGGUUACUGGUGCCCUCCUGGCCAGAGGGUGGCCACGGCCUUCCCUUGCCCAGUAGCCCACUAUUGUCCCCAGGGAAGUCCUGUCCCACAACCCUGCCCCCCUGGAACCUUCCAGGACCAAGAGAAACAGACUGCAUGCAAUAUUUGUGAAGCAGGUUAUUACUGUGAUCUGAGGUUCGCUCUGAAGAAUGCAUCGAUGAUCCGGCCCUGCCCUAAAGGACAUUAUUGCCCCCCUGGCACCACCUUAGCUGCCCAGCACCCCUGCCCUCCAGGAUCGUUCAACCCCAGAGAGAGAACACACAGCCUCGGAGACUGCAUGCCCUGUCCUCCUGGGCUGUUCUGUCCUACCAUGGGACUGGCUGAACCUGCAGGUAACUGCAGCGCCGGAUUCUGGUGCAGGAAGGGCGCGUCCUCCUCCAGUCCGGUGGAUGGCAUCUCAGGCUCUCCGUGUCCUGCCGGUCAAUACUGCCCCUCAGCUACCCCCGCCCCUGUGCCAUGUCCGCUGGGCACCUGGUCCAACAGUUCAGGCCUGGGACGCCAGGAGGAGUGCCAGCCGUGCCCCGGAGGACUGUACUGUGACUCCGCCGGCCUGACGGCUCCCACUGGACCCUGCGCUGGAGGAUAUUAUUGUCUUGACAGCGCAGUGACACCCACUCCCAGUAAUGGUCCCACGGGCGGACCCUGUCCAAAAGGUCACCAUUGCCCCGUAGGAACUGCUCAGCCUCUGCCCUGUGAUCCGGGGACGUAUGUGAGCGUAACACACGCGACCCAAUGUGAGCCCUGUGCGCCUGGCUGGUACUGUUCAUCAGGCACUCCACGGCUGUGUCCCGCAGGUUUUUACUGUCUCGAGGGAACGGGGUAUGACUUAAGAGCCUGCCCGGAGGGCACGUACAGCCCUGAGGCUGGCCUAACAUCCAUCAGCCAGUGCAGGCAGUGUGACGGUGGCCAUUACUGUCCAUUUAGGAAUAGCACCUCGGUCACAGGCCGUUGCCUGGAGGGCUAUUACUGCUCCCACGGAAACACCUCUCCCAAACCACCUGCUCUUUCUGCAGGUGGAGGGCCAUGCCCGGCGGGGCACUACUGCCCUAGAGGGACCGUCGAACCUCAACCAUGCCCCGCCGGCACAUUCAGCAACCUGACCAAACUGGUCUCUCAGGAAGGGUGUCGGCCGUGCUCACCCGGUCUCUACUGUGGCAAGUCUGGGCUCAGCGCGCCGACGGGGGAAUGCUGGGAAGGUUUUUACUGUCGCCACGGGGCGGUUGUUCCUAACAGCUCCAUCAGAGACAGCCGAGGGGGGCCUUGUCCACGAGGUUAUUACUGCGCUAAGGGUUCGGCAGCUCCCAGGGAGUGUCCCCAGGGAACCGUCAGCGUAGAGGAGGGCCGGUUCCGCUGCAGCAUCUGUCCCGAGGGUUAUUACUGCCCUGGAAAUAGCUCCUAUUAUGAAACCACGGAGUGCCCUGUGGGUCACACCUGCCCUAGAGGCACCUCCUCCCAGGACCAGAACCCAUGCCCCGCUGGGACCAUCAACCCUCACCCCGGCAUGACCAGCCCUCAGGCCUGCCUGCCCUGCCCCCCAGGGUUCUACUGUGCCUUUCCCGGUCUGAGUGCCAUAUCGGGUCGGUGCACCGCCGGCUACCUGUGCCGGUCCGGAGCCGUGUCUCCAACCCCUGAGGACGGCGUGACAGGUGACCAGUGUCCCCGGGGUCACUUCUGCCCAGAGGGCUCUGGUUCCGUUCCACGUCCCUGUCCUGUGGGCUAUUACAGCAACACCACCAGGAACACGCAGGCCUCGGACUGCCUGCCCUGCCAUGCAGGGUUCAUUUGUGCCAGCAGAGGGCUCUCCCUCCCUUCUGAUCUCUGCCAAGCUGGAUACUAUUGCCCUAACAGACACAACUCCAGCCUCCCCACCUCUGUCACCUGCUCAGCUGGCCAUAUGUGCCCACCAGGCAGUGCCCACCAGAUUCCCUGUGCACCAGGCACUUACCAGGACCAGCCAGGGCAGAAGGCGUGUGCUACCUGUCCAGCAGGGUUUCACUGUGCGGGCUCGACAAAUCCUGCCACAGGAGAGGUGACAGGAACAAGCACUCCAACCCGGUGUCCGAAGGGACACUACUGCCCACCAGGCACCCGGUUCGGUGCGGAGUUCCCCUGCCCGGUUGGCACAUUCAGUGGUCGGACCAGCUUGUCUGAUGUGAGGGGAUGUGUCCCCUGCUCUCCAGGGAGGUACUGCGGCUCGACGGGGCUGACAGCUCCCACCGGGCACUGUUCUCCUGGGUACCUCUGCAUCCAAGGUUCCAUUACUUCCCAACCAGCUGGAGAUGCGACUGGGGAAAAAUGCACCGCUGGGUCCUACUGCCCACUGGGCACCAGUCACAUGCUGCCCUGCCCUGCAGGCACUUUCAGCACUGCGCAAGGGGCCGUGUCUGUGGAUGCCUGCAAGCCCUGUUUGCCUGGGUUUUACUGUGAAGACGUUGGCCUUGCCGCCCCGUCUGGUUCCUGUAGCCCUGGGUUCUACUGCCCAACGGGAUCCCGAUCCCCCACGCCCAAUCAGAACGCAACAAGUAACCCAAGAAACGCAUCUCCUAUCGAUCCUUCCCGUGAUAUAGAGGCCUUGGGAGAGAGCCUUGGAGACAUUUGCCCAGCCGGCCACUACUGUCCGAAUAGGACAGCUCAGCCAAUACCCUGUCCCCCAGGCACCUUUCUGGGGCGACGCGGUGGCCAAUCAGAGGCCAGCUGUGAGCCGUGCCCCCCCGGGUUCUACUGCCCUGCCUGGGGGCAGACGGCUGCUGAUCUCCGCUGUCCACAGGGGUGGUUCUGUCCGGAAGGCUCCGCGUCAGGGCAUCAGCCGGAAUGCCGGUGCCCGUCUGGUCAUUUGUGCCCGCAUGGAAGUGCUGUGCCUGUCCCCUGUGCCCCUGGCACCUAUCAGUCUUUGACUGGUCAGUCGACAUGCACUACCUGUCCGCCAGGUUUUUACUGUGUGGAGGGAUCGGGUCUGCCAGCACCAUGCCCUGCUGGUACCGUGAGUCCGGUUGAGGGCAAGGCGUCUCUUACCGAUUGUUCCCCAUGUCCACCUGGGUUCUUCUGCAACAGCAGUGCUUUGACCACGCCCUCCGGACACUGCUCGUCCGGCCACUUCUGUUCCGGUGGAGCUACUGACCCUGCCCCGGUCUCUAAGAACUUUGGGGAUGUCUGCCCCUUGGGUCACUACUGCCCAGAGGGUAGUUGGUGGCCCAUACCCUGUCCAGUGGGUAAUUACCUUCCAGAGAGGGGCGCCACAUCCCCUUCUUCCUGCCACCCCUGUCCCCCAGGGAGGUUCUGCCUCAACCCAGGCUCCUCGCAGCCCACAGGUCCUUGCUCUCCGGGAUUCUACUGUACGGGUGGUGCAGAUAGUGGUUCACCCCAGGCAAACUCCUCCCAGCUCAGCUGCCUUUGUGGCAGGAUGGUGCUCCAUCCUGCCGGCCAACACUUUUGUUCCUGGCUACACAACACUACUUACCCACAGAACGACGAUGACUCAAAUGGAAACGGAGGCUGGUUCGAAAUGGUAACCAGGCCGUGGUCAGGUCAUGCACUGGCCAACACCACACCUCAUCUCAGCAUCCCACAUAAUAAAUGUGCUAACUUCAAAGGCGAUAUUUGUCCCAGAGGUUUCUACUGUCCGAUGGGAUCGGCCUACCCUCGUCCUUGUGACGCUGGUUCCUACUGUGGUGAGACUGGACGAGAAGCCCCUAGUGGCCCCUGUGCCCUAGGCCACUUCUGCCCCAGGGGUUCCACGGACCCUCACGCCUCACCUUGCCUGCCUGGGUACUACUGCCCCCAGGGCACGACUAUGCCUUUACCCUGCCCCCCUGGAACCAUGAAGAGACAUUCAGGUGGAUCCACCGUGGAGGAUUGUCAUCCUUGCCCCCCUGGCCAUUACUGCGGUCAGACAGGCUUGGCCAAACCUAGCGGCCGGUGUGGUUCUGGCUACUUCUGUCCAGGAGGUCAGAGCACCGACAGGCCAGAGCACCAUGUGUGUGGAGUUGGUCAUUUCUGUGAGGAGGGCAGUGUGACAGAGACAGUCUGUGUCCCAGGUAGUUACCAGCCCAGCAAGGGUCAAGGCCACUGUGAAACAUGUCCUUCUGGCUUCUACUGUCUUCAAAAAGGAAUGACACAUGCCGUGCCAUGUGAAAGAGGAUUCUAUUGUCCCUUUGGAUCUGCCAAUCCUCAGCCGUGUCCAACGGGGACGUAUGGAAACCUCUCAGGAUUGGCUGAAGAAUCACAGUGCUCUUUGUGUGAACCUGGAACGUACUGUAAAGGAACAGGAAAUAUUUCCCCCAGUGGUCAGUGCAGUGCAGGGUUUGUUUGUCUUGGGGGUGCCUCUCUGCCAUCUCCCUCAGACAACACAACAGGAUCUCCGUGUCCACCUGGGUACUACUGUCCUGCUGGGAGCUCAGCCCCAGUGCCCUGUCCUAAAGGCACAUUCAGUGAGCUAAAUGGACUAACAGAGCCCUCCCAGUGCCAGACAUGCCGUCCUGGGUUCUACUGCGCUCAGCCGGGCCUUUCAGCUGUGACAGACGCCUGUUUGCCUGGUUUCUACUGUUUAGAAGGAUCCCAGGUGGCUGGACCCAUGUCCGGUUGGUUCGGUGGGCCUUGUCACCCAGGCCACUACUGUGAGAGGGGUAGCAGUGUGCCCACCCCCUGCCCCGCUGGCACCCAUAACAAUGACACCGGAGGGAAGACCAGGGACGACUGCAAGGCCUGUCCUGAUGGUUGGUUCCAGGACAUGGUGGGGCAGACGCAGUGUAAACCCUGUCCCCCAGGAUUUCACUGCCCAGCUGCCACCACGAGUGGCAUAGACAAGGGCCCCAUCAUACCUCUGCGCUGCCCAGCUGGCUACGUCUGCCCCAGAGAGAGCCCAUUCAGCCAACCCCACCCCUGCCCCAAAGGCACCUUCAGCUCAAGUCAAGGCCUCACUUCACUGGGUGAGUGCUUGCUGUGUCCUGCCGGGCAGUUUUGUGGAUCUGAAGGUCUGGUUGUGCCAACUGGGCCGUGUUCCUCUGGGUUCCUCUGUGUUUCCAGGGCCAGAGUCCCCAACCCCACUGACAACAAGACAGGGUCACUGUGCCCCCCCGGAGCAUACUGCCAACUGGGACUCAGAGCAGGUGCUUGUUCCCCGGGGUUUUACUGUGACUGGGGCUCCAGCGGUCCUGAGGAGGCCUUGUGUCCAGCAGGCUACUUCUGUCCAGGGGAAACCAGGACACCCUUACCCUGCCCCGCUGGUACGCACAGUCCAGCGGGAGGCAACAGCCACCAAGACAACUGUACCAUAUGUCCUGCAGGCUACUACUGUCAGGGAGAAGGGGUGGUACAGCCUGUGAUCUGUCCUCUGGGUCACUACUGUCCUCCUGGGUUGGCUGUCGGCUCGGGGAUGCCCUGUCCUCCUGGCACAGUGCAGGGCCAGCUAGGAGCCACCAGUCUGGAUCACUGUCUGCCGUGCCCUGCAGGAAUGUUCUGUGCUUUCCCUGGGCUCUCCCAGCCGACAGGUCCUUGCCAGGCUGGGUACCACUGUCCUCCUGGGGCCAUCAGCCCAAAUGCUACUGAAUACCAGGGAAAUUCUACGAGUAAUAAUUUGUGCCCCCGUGGUUACUACUGUCCAGCUGGAACUGGCUACCCUCUUCCGUGCCCCCUGGGCACUCUCUCCAGCUCCCCAGGCCUGAGGCACAUAGAAGAGUGCCAGUCUUGUCCUCGGGGGCACUUCUGUGACAGGCCUGCGUUGGCGCUGUCCUCUGAUGCCACGCCAUGUGGCUCUGGGUACGUCUGUCUGGAGGGGAGCACCAGUUUCCGUCCCUUUGAUGGUCGCCGUGGCUACAUGUGCCCGGCGGGGCAUUACUGUCCCGCUGGCACAGCUGUAGAGGUGCCCUGUGAGCCUGGCACCUACAGCCCUGCGCCCGGCUCUGCCCGCUGCCUCACCUGUCCUAAUGGUACCGUGUGUUCCUCCUCGGCCACGCGGGAGCCCACUCUCUGUCCGGCUGGCCAUUUCUGUCCUGCGGGGUGUGUUUUACCCUUGCCCUGUCCCGUUGGGACCCUCGGCGACCAGACUGGAGCACACUCCCCGUCUGCGUGCAGGCCCUGCCCCCCUGGGCUCUACUGCAGCUCCCCAGGCACCACAUCACCACAAGGCCAGUGCCAGAAGGGCUAUUUCUGCCAGGGUGGAGCCCCAGGUCCAGCUCCUCAGAGCUCAGCCUCCUUCCCCGGGAAUGGGCCCUGCCCCGUGGGGCACUAUUGUCUCCCAGGAACCCUCUCCCCUCUGCCAUGUCCAGCAGGCAGCAUCCGAAACCACACCGGUGGGUCGUCCAUAGACAGCUGCUUCCCUUGUCCCCCGGGACACUUCUGCUCCAGUGAGGGCCUGGCCUCACCCACGGGCCUCUGUGCACCUGGUUUCUACUGCCCAUUUGACUUCUCCUCCACCACGCCCUUUGCCUUCCUGUGCCCUAAGGGUCACUACUGUCCAGGCGGCUCUCCCCUGGCCCUGCCCUGCCCUACGGGGGAGUACCAGCCCAACCCAGGCUCUGAGUCCUGCAUCCCCUGCCGCCCAGGCUUCUACUGUGAAGAGGCCAUCGUGGGAGAGCCCAGGCCCUGUCCCCCUCAUUCCUACUGCCCAGCAGGCACAAUGGUUCCUCAGAAGUGCCCCAAUGGUACGUUCACCACUACUGACCUGGGGGGUCUACAGGACGAGAGGGAGUGUCUCCCCUGCCCCCCAGGGUGGUUCUGCAGGGCUGGUAAGAUCCAGGGCCGUUGUGCCGCCGGGUAUCUGUGUAUGUCGGGCAGCUCCGGGUUCACACCCCAGAGGCCCCAUUCCAACUGGAGUCACUGUGAAUGGGGAAUGCAGUGUGCUGGUCCGUGUCCCGCAGGAUUCUACUGCCCGGAAGGCACGGAGAAGGCAGAAGUCUGCCCUGACAACACCAUCAGGGUCUCUCCCGGAGGCGCCACCAUCGACGAUUGCCUUCCAUGUCCGCCACAGCGUUGGUGCAAGCGAGGUGACCCGGUCCUGCACCUGUGUCCCGCUGGCCACUACUGCGAUGGGCUGUCUGCUGGCGACUACGGUGAAGGGGGCGGACCCAGAGAAUGUCCGUCAUUCACCUACAGAUCCGCCCCCGGCGCCGGCAGCAGGGGGGACUGUCACCCCUGUCCCCCUGGAACCUACUGUACCUCUACAGGUCUAACAGACUACUCUGGCUACCCCUGUCCGCCUGGUUACUGGUGCAGCGGCACCGGUCCUCCCGUCCUGUGCCCAGCGGGCACCAUGAGGCCCCUGCCAGGGGCGGCAGCUCCCGGCCAAUGUGAGCCCUGUGUGGGGGGAACCUACUGCCCAGACCCCAGAUCCACCGGGCAGCCCAACGUCGCUGGCAUCCCGUGUAGGGCCUCGUAUCACUGUCCCCCAGGUGCGGUGUCAGAGAGGCUGUGUAAACCUGGCUUCUACUGUGGGCCCCAGACGGCGGUGCCUGACAUCUGUCCUGAAGGCUUCGUCUGCCCAGAGGGAUCACAGACCUACAACACACCGCAACAGGUCUGCCCAUUCCCCUUCUACUGCCCUUCCAACAGCUCCGCCAUGCUGUCCUGUUCGGGAGGCUGGAUGCCCGUCAACACCAGUGGCCCCCGUGCCUCCCAGGACAGCAGCUGUGUACUGUGUGAAGCGGGGACCUACCGUCCUCGCCCGUCACCCCAUCCCCACUGCCUCAGCUGCCCCGCUGGGUACCACUGCCCUCCAGGGACAGAGAACUACCACAGCAACCCCUGUCCCCUGGGACAUGUGUGUCCAAUGGGCUCCUCUACUCCGGUCGCAUGCCCUCCUGGUUCUUUUGGUAAUCUCUCCAAGGCUAGACGCCCUGAGGACUGCCACCCAUGUCCGCCGGACACCUUCAACCAUCUGGCUGCCCAGAGAGCCUGUUUUCCCUGUGGUAGCUCUGCCACUGCACCUCAAGGGGCCUCUACCUGCACCUGCGUUGGGAAGAACCGCGCUUUUCAGGUCUCCGACGGUUCCUGUCUGUGUCGAACAGGCUUUAUCUUCUACAACCAACUGGACUUCAAGAGCUCUAUUUCUGACAGUAAACUGGACUGCCAGCCUGAGGUUAACCAGCGUUGUAGGUUGGGACAGGUGCGUCUGGCCGCCUCCAGAGAGUGUGUCUUCCCCUCCCACUACUCCUGUAAUGUCACCUGUGGACCUCAGGGAGGGAGUCUGGAUGUGGAAAUGGGCAUCUGCCAUUGUGAGCGUUAUGUGUCAGUGGAGGAGCUAUGCAACAGCUCGUGUCUGUCCAGACUGCCCCAUGUCUCUGCCAGGCUCUCCCCGGGAGGUCAGCUCCUGGUGGGGAUCAAAGAACCGGAGGAAAGCCCAGUGUGGAGCCGAAGCGUUAUUGAUGUUUUGGGACCAGAUGUCCAUGUGAAGAAUAUUGGAAACAUCCACUUUGUUCAGUUUAGUUUUGAAGGUGUUUUCGGUUGGAUUCUUAUGGACCAAACAAUUAUUGAAAUGGCCCUGACAGCGGAGCCAAUCACAUUCCUUGACAGAGAAUACAGGAAGAAGAGGGAUGUUGAAUCCAUGGCAGAAAUUCUCUCCAAUACCCUCCCUCGUAUCCCCAACCCCAUAGCAUGCCUCUCUUCUAAUGACAUGCUCAUCUUCCAGCUCUCCAUCAAUUUCACUGACCGUCAACUCAGCCACUUCCCAGUGUAUCAGAAAGACCAUCUCUUCAACAGCAACCCUAGCUGGGACUUUGGGGCCUUCCGGCAUCUAGGGCAUCUUAUGAAACAGACUCAGUUCAACUCUACCAGAUUUGCCCAUGUGUUCUCUGACACGGGGAAGUAUGUGUUUGUGGACAACGCUGUCCCAGACUGGAGUCUGGUGGUGGUGGUUAGUGAGAGAGGGACAGAGUGUGACCCCGCUGCGGCCGUUUUCCAACCAAUGACCCCAUCCCAACUGGUCAGACAUGGGGUCAUCAAACAGCACCAGCUCAACCUGCUGCCAGACUGGGGUGCCAUCAUAGGUGUCCUGACUGUACUGCUGGUGCUCAUCCUGGUGCUCACUACCACAGCUCUGGUUCUGAAGCCCGGUCAGGCUAAGCUGCUCUCCCUGAGCAAACCGAAGCCAAAGUGGCGAAGCUUGGGAGAGCCCAUCCCUGCAGUGGAAUACAUCGACAUGGGAAACAGUGCGGAUGUCCGUGGUGUUCUGGGCUGCAGGGGUGUGGGAGAGGGAGCUGAAUCUGAGGAGCCUGCAGCCUGCCGUGGAGGAGGAUACAGAACUGAGAAAUUUGAGCUGGAAGAGUUUAACGUGAAAACGCUCUACGACAAGCUAGAAGAUCAGAACUUGUAUUUGGCUUCACAGCUGGCAUGGCAUCGCAAAGACACCCAAGAGUUCUACCAAAAUAUCUGCCAACAGAUGGAUGACCUGAAGGACAUUCUGGAGAACAUGGAGCCCAAAGAGUUUAGUCUGUUGAAAGAGCUAUUGGAGCGUGAUGCCUUACAUAAUGACUCAUACAUUAAUACUGAAACACAAGCAGAGCCAUCUGUAGUGCUGAUUGGGGCUGUAGUCCGAGCUCUGGAGGCUGUCCUCUACAGACUGAUAGGAGAGGGCUGGCAGCAGCAGGACAUGACAGCAGCACACUGCCACACAGACACCAGGGCUGAGCUGCACAUGGGCUACACACAGUUUUCCUCAGCCAAUAUUACCAAAGCUGCCUCAGGCCACGAAAGUGAGACCUCACGUCAUGAUCAAGUGUGUCUGCAGAGUACAGCCCCCUGUCUGAGUGAGCAGGACCUUUCCAAGCUUGUGGCGAUGACCCCUCUGUCCCGGACCCUGCUAGAGAUACAGGAGUCCCUCCAGAACCUACCGUGUUUAGACACAGCCAGGACUGACAAGACCACAGAGGACCCAGCCGUGCAGCUGAUCCCCAUUGCCCUGGACAGCCUCUCCCCACAGCAUUUUGCCAUCUUCAUGUUCGGCUGCUACGUUGUGAAAUUGCUGUGCAACACGCAAAACUUCCCACUGGUCACACUGCUUUUGGCCAAGAAGGUUCCUCUUGUCUCUGCCCAUGAGGCUCUGUUGUCACACUGCAAUGGAGACUUCUAUUUCGACGUCACCAACCAGAUUCUGUAUCUCUGUGAGGAAAGGCUUGAGAGUGUAGGACAGUUCAUUGCCACCCUGCUGCAGUCUAUGGCCUUUAUUGCUUCUGGUUCGAAGCCAGAAAGCUUCAUGCAAGCCCUGCAUUGCGCCAUUGCUGCCUUGAGCCUUCAGUUGUUCACCUACUCUUUCAAAAAUGAAGCAACCAAGUCACAGAGGUCAGACCAGUAUCCUCAGAUGUUAGUGGAGGACUUUCUCAAUGCUCAAAUACCUGCUGAAACCCAGUUCACAGAGCAACACUUGGCCGACAGACUCCAGCGAUAUAAGUAUUUUAAAGUGGAGCAACUCAUCCGGGAUCUUAAGCAAUUUCCGGCACAGGAGACAGAAAGGGGGCCUACACCAAAAUGUUUAGGAACGCCUGUAAAAGCCCAAUGUGUGGAACAGGAAGUAGACUGUCUGAACGAAGUUUUCCUGAAACUUAGUAUUGAACUCCAGAAAAGGACUCAGAAGAAGAUGUGUCUAGAGCCAACGCUGCAAAGCUCUGACACGCCCUUAAAGAGUGCAGAUGCAGAGGCCGCCCUGAGUCGUGAGGACACAGUGGUUUUAGAGCUGAAGAGACGAUGCGUAUCCCAGAGGCUUGAUGAACUGCAAAUCAUUUUAGCCGGAAUGGGCUGGCGCCAGCUAGACAGCCACAGGGCAGAGCCAAAGAAUUUGAGCAGUUCACACCCAGGGCCAGACAGUCAUAGAUCAUUCCAUAAGGAACACAUUCAUGCUCCAGACCCUGGGGGUGACCUAGACAGUGAGGGACCGAAGCAUCAAGCACUAGAAGACACCCAGAGCUGGUACAGUCGGGAUGUAGAUAACCAGGGGCCAAGUAGUCAGAUAGAUGGGUGAAACAUGUUACGAAGAUCCAGGCACCUCGGAACCCCAAGUAGGAUGUGAAUAUUGGGGAUAGCCGAUGAGUGGUUAUUGGUUUGAUUUGCCUUUUUGGGAUUUAAUAGAUCAAAUAUAAUGACCCAGGUCCAGUUUAGAGUAUAGUGUGGAUAAUCAAUGUAUAAUGGAUCAUCCCAUCAGAUUUUCAAUUACAUUUAUCUUAAUAAAUUCAUAAAUGUC
Esox lucius (northern pike) is the source of this 15749-nucleotide long non-coding RNA. RefSeq annotates it as SCO-spondin. The record is from RefSeq and is a predicted model, not a curated record. NCBI's taxonomy places the organism in Eukaryota, Metazoa, Chordata, Actinopteri, Esociformes, Esocidae. The transcript is spliced from 98 exons.